GAAAUGCGAUAAGUAAUGUGAAUUGCAGAAUUCAGUGAAUCAUCGAAUCUUUGAACGCACCUUGCGCUCCUUGGUAUUCCGAGGAGCAUGCCUGUUUGAGUGUCAUUAAAUUCUCAAUCUUUACAACUUUGUGUUGUCCAGAUUGGAUUUGGGGGUUUCAUUGUGCGGAAUUCAAUUCCUCACUCCCCUUAAAUGCAUUAGCUGGAAUGCCUCCGCAUAUCUGACUAUCAGUGUGAUAAUUAUCUAUACUGUAGUUGUUGCAUGAGGGUAUCUGCUUCAUCAAUCGUCGCAAGACAAAUGACCAUCUUGACCUCAAAUCAGGUAGGACUACCCGCUGAACUUAA
This 344-nucleotide unclassified non-coding RNA is filed under the name Conocybe apala. Its description in RNAcentral is "sequence contains ITS1". The stretch from base 1 to 105 matches the Rfam family "5.8S ribosomal RNA", at positions 50 to 154 of the family's 154-position model. Lineage: Eukaryota; Fungi; Basidiomycota; Agaricomycetes; Agaricales; Bolbitiaceae. The record is from RNAcentral.